Molecule: transfer RNA, 76 nt
Filed under: bacterium
Lineage: Bacteria
Also listed under: 1 other name
Description: tRNA-Glu
Rfam family: tRNA
About the family: Transfer RNA (tRNA) molecules are approximately 80 nucleotides in length. Their secondary structure includes four short double-helical elements and three loops (D, anti-codon, and T loops).
Source: RNAcentral
GUUCCCAUCGUCUAGAGGUCUAGGACUCAAGAUUCUCAUUCUUGCAACACGGGUUCGAAUCCCGUUGGGAAUGCCA